Molecule: long non-coding RNA, 508 nt
Organism: Armigeres subalbatus
Lineage: Eukaryota; Metazoa; Arthropoda; Insecta; Diptera; Culicidae
Exons: 3
Source: RefSeq, a predicted model, not a curated record
CAGAUAUCUAAAGAGAGAAAUGUUACCGAGUAGCCGUUGGCCUUCAUCACGAACGGACUAUAUGAGUAGAGACGAGGGAGAGCACAUUUGACCGAGAGUACCUAGUAAAUAGCAGAGCUACAGCCAUAAUCAGGCACCAGGAACCCUGCAUGAACGGAUUCCAUCGUAAAGCAUCAUCUCUCCCUUUUAUUUAUCACCACCCGAUCGUGGAGUAAGCAAUUGCUAUGCACAUUGCCAGAUCUCGAUCAAAUUGAAGAGAUCAGUAGCCGGUUAAUCGUUAAGCAGGCAAGACCUGGGCAAUUUAAAAAACGAGUUAAAGUUAAUGUGCCUGACUGGCAAUUUUUAGUGAGACAUUUGAUUCGGGAAGCAAUGGUGGAUGUGUUUGGCUAAAGUGAUGAGACAGCCAACUAAAAAAGCCUUGUCCUAAAUCCUGGAAUCAGCAAAGUGGUUGUGAUGGAGUAAACAGGUGAUGAUUUUGAGAUCGGCCUUUCAUUCCAAUACCAAAUCC